Molecule: ribosomal RNA, 253 nt
Filed under: uncultured bacterium
Lineage: Bacteria
Description: partial 16S ribosomal RNA
Rfam family: Bacterial small subunit ribosomal RNA
Source: RNAcentral
GACAGAGGGUGCAAACGUUGCUCGGAAUCACUGGGCGUAAAGCGCACGUAGGCGGAUCGCUAAGUCAGGGGUGAAAUCCUGGAGCUCAACUCCAGAACUGCCCUUGAUACUGGCGACCUCGAGUCCGGGAGAGGUGAGUGGAACUGCGAGUGUAGAGGUGAAAUUCGUAGAUAUUCGCAAGAACACCAGUGGCGAAGGCGGCUCACUGGCCCGGUACUGACGCUGAGGUGCGAAAGCGUGGGGAGCAAACAGG